UGUGUUUCUACAAGUUCAAAAUAACAUCCUGCAGAUGACAGACAUUGAAACAAAGGAGGAGCUGGAAUCCUUGGCUCUGGAGAGCGUAACAGACAUGAGAGCCAUGCUGGGCCGCUGUGUGUACAACUCCCUGCUGAUGAUAGCAGUGCAGCCGUGCCACAAGAGAGUGUCCAGCGUCUUCCUCUUCCACUGCGCGGAGGUCGGGGCGGAGUACAUCUGUAUGGACCUGGAGAGAGCUGUGCAGCACCGGAAAGAAGACGGACAUUCUGGAAAGCAAAACUGGCCAGCAGAGACCAGACAGAUUCAUGGCUACAGAACCUCCCUCUGA
RNAcentral lists this long non-coding RNA (328 nucleotides) under Scleropages formosus (Asian bonytongue). Its description in RNAcentral is "lncRNA (ENSSFOG00015026902.1)". Lineage: Eukaryota; Metazoa; Chordata; Actinopteri; Osteoglossiformes; Osteoglossidae. The record is from RNAcentral.